RNAcentral lists this long non-coding RNA (723 nucleotides) under Olea europaea subsp. europaea. The record is from RNAcentral. Lineage: Eukaryota; Viridiplantae; Streptophyta; Magnoliopsida; Lamiales; Oleaceae.
UCCUUGUGCAAUUAUUGGUUUAGGCGGGGUACAAGUGGCAUUGUAUAGGCAUUAAACCUUCUUUCUUUUCUCAUUUUCAACCCGAAACUCUACCCCCAAACCCAUCCUCCAUGCCAUUUCCUUUCUCUCUUCGUCGGAAAACACCACCACAGUUGACAUCGCCAUUUGGUAAAACUCGUCUCCACCAUCACUACCACUGGUAUCUACCAAGUUUUCACUGCCACCGCCAUAUAUAUUAUAGCUCCUAUUUUCUUAAAUUCACUAACUUACGGAAUUAGAUUGUCCAUUACAAACAAUAAUCCAUAGCAGCAAUAGCAAAUGUAGCAACAGGAGUGAAAACCGAAAAGGCUUGUCCCUUAGAACCCCACUAGCAAAAAUUCUCCUAUAUGGCAAUUGGACAAGCUCAGGAACAAAGCCAAACACUGGAAGUAUGGAUGGAUCUUGGGGUUGUGGGUGAUGUUACUCUGUAAUCAAUUGCGAUUGAAAUUAGAAAAUUAAUUGCAAGAUUAGAAUAUGCUAUAGUUCAAAUAUGAUGUAAUUUUUGGUAGUUGGUUUUUGUGUAGAUGAUGGUGGUUGGUUGUGGUUUGAUUAUGGUGGUGGUGGUUUACGAUGCCCUUGUAUGAUGGUAGUGGUAGUGACCGAUCGAUUGAUAAUGUGCCGGCGUUGCUGUUGGUUGGGAAAGGGGGCGUGGCAGGCGUGGGAUGUUUGAAGGAGAGAAUUUUU